Molecule: long non-coding RNA, 2917 nt
Organism: Macadamia integrifolia
Lineage: Eukaryota; Viridiplantae; Streptophyta; Magnoliopsida; Proteales; Proteaceae
Exons: 2
Source: RefSeq, a predicted model, not a curated record
CUCACUUUUUUCUCCUUGAGAAAGGAGGCACAACCUUUCUUCUGCUGUUUAAAUCUUCUAACUCUAGUUUGUUAUUUAUUUCUAAUGCGGAUUUUCACAAAGAAAGUUCAGAAAGAUCAUUGUUCGUGGCAUUUCAACGAAACCUCAUAUGGGAGGUAAUGCAGCCUUUCACUCUCUUCUCGAGCUUGAUUUUGAUACUCCUUUCCCAAGGCCCCUUGGUGCAUGUGGUGCUUCCCUAUUUACGUUUGGUGAGCCCUAUACAGCUGUUAAGACUUCAAAUUGAAGAUAGCUUUCUUCUCAAAUCGAAGAUAGCUGUUAUAGAAAAGCAGCCAAUGUUUUGUCUUUCUCGAAGAAUGGAAUAGGUUUGUGAAAGACAGAAAAAGAGUUGAAAUCUAAUGAUCGAUGCCCACAAAGAGAAAAGAAAUAAAUGAUAGUUAUAGAGUGAAGAUAUGGAGAUAUAACUUGGCUUGGAAGAGAAACCUUGGAUUAAGUUUGAUGGAGGAAGACGGCAAGGAAGAUUAUUGUUUGGCUAUCCAAUGGAGGAAAGGAAAUAAGAAACAACAAAAAAAAUUUGUUUCGACUUUUGUAAAGAAGGUCAAGGGUUUGUUGAAACUUAGGCCCUAAUCAUCCUUAUUUAGGUAACCAUCAUUACACAUGAUAAUUGUGCAAAGUUAUGGCAGAAUGCCUUCUGUUGAAUAAUGAGUUAUAUUGUAAUAAAAGGUUUUAGAGGUUAAAUCCAAACGAACCCUUAAGCCCUCUUGGGUUUGUAUUUCAUCAUAAAUAAGAAAGGAUUGUGCUCAUUAAUGCACAAGUCCAAAUUUCCCUAAUUAUUCAUGGUGUCAGAGUAGGUUUGCUCACAACCCUAAAUCCCAUUCCCCAUUACCUUUCUUCUCCCUUCCAUCGCCCUAACCCCUUCCUACGCUUCCCAUCCAACCACGGCCACCCUCUCUCCUUUGCAUCACCGCCACCACCUUCCUCUCCCUCUUUUGCCCUAAACUAGCCACAGCCGCUGCCGUGGCCCUCGUCAAUCUCCUCUCUCCCUUGUGCUAAACCAGCCACCGCCACUCUCUCUCUCCCUUUUGCACUGAACCAGCAACCACCACCACCCCCUUUCUCUCUCUCGCUUUGUGUUAAACCAGCCAUUGCCACUCUUUCUAUGCAUAGCUAAACCCUAUCCUUAGAUCUAACCCCAAACCUAACCCUACUCUCUCUCUCUCUCUCUCUCUCUCUCUCUCUCUCUCUCUCUCUCUCUCUCUCUCUUGUGGUUUCCCUUUAGUGGGAGAUUUUAUCUUUUUUAGGCUUUCUCCCUUGUUUGUGAGUGUUUUCUUACCGGGGGCUCUUGUUUGUCUCGGUUCGUGAUCCAGAUCACUAUGCUUAUUUAAAUCUAGAUUUGUGGCUUUCUUGUGAUUGUUUAUUGAAUCUACACCCAUGGCAUCUGAAGAUUAUGGAAGAUCAGUUACUCAAGGAGGGGUCGUUCCUCUAAUCAUGACCAUCCUCUCUAGUCUCUUCCCUAUUAGCACCAUUAAUCCAGAUGGGAGCAAUUAUCUGAUAUGAUCUUGAUCUUACUACCUAUCGAUUGUUGGUCACGGUUAUGCUAGAUUUCUCAUAGGUGAUUUGGUACACCUUAUUAGUGUUGGUUCUACUCAGGAUAAAUGGGAUGCUGCAAAUUGGAUGGUAAUGUCUUAUCUUAUUAAUUCUAUGUCUCCUUUUAUUGCUCGAAAAUAUCUGUUACUUAAUUCUACUGAUAUGAUAUAGAAGGCCGCUAAGGGCACCUAUUCCACAUGGGCAAACGUACCCAGGGUUUUGAACUAAGGAUAAAGGUCCAUCGAGCUACUCAAAAGAAGAUUUUUAUGGUUCAAUAUUACUCUGAUCUGCAGGGUAUAUAGAAUGAGUUGACUAUUAUGAGAUUUAUCAACCUGGUUGUGAGAUUGAUGUUGUUGGGUUUAAGAAGCCUGAGGAAGAGCUUGGCAUUUUAUGAUUUUCUAGUAAGUAUCAAUGUGGAAUAAGAUCAGAUUAGGGCUAAUUUGCUCAAUUAUGAUACUUCACCCACUCUUAAGGAGGCCUAUUCCAUAAUUUAGGUUGAGGAGCAACAUCAAUCGAAGUAUGCUAUAGCCUAUUUCUUAGGAUUGUUCUGCUCUGAUUUCUACUACUGCUAUUGGUUCACAAACUGCUAACCCAUUCUCUACUAAUAAAUCGGUUGUUAAAUGUGACUACUGUGGUAAGGAGCGGCAUGCCAGGGAGACAUGUUGGAAGCUUCAUGGACAUUCCAGCAACACUUAUGGUCGUAAUCAGGGUCAUGGGAAGAACACUCUAGCCAAUCAAUCUAAGACUACAACCGAUUCUGAUAGCUCGACUGUGACAGAAUCCUCAAUCUCUACUGAUGAGAUGGCUAUGCUUCAUCAUAUGCCGACUCAGAUGGGAUCCUCCAUAGCUGCUAUUGCCUCCUCUUUACCAAUAGUCACUACCUCCUACUCAGCACACUCAGGUUACCUUUCCCCUAUUAUUGGAUUGGGUUCCAUUUAGUGCUCUCCUUCAUUGUCUUUGUCCUCUGUGUUAGAUGUUCCUUAGUUUUCUACUAAUUUAUAGUCUACUGCUAGUAUUACUAAAGAUUUGGACUAUAAAGUCACUUUCUUUCCUACUCACUAUGUAUUUCAAGACUUGGCGAUGGGGGCAAUGAUUGGCAAUGGUAGAAUGAGUGGUGGUCUCUAUUACCUGGACAUUGGUCCCUCACGGGCUCUACACAAAUCUUCUGAUUUAGCACUUUCAGAGUUUUUGGGUUGCAUCAUCGUCUGGGUCACCCCCAUGGGGCACUUUAUCUAAAUUAUUUUCUACUUUGGUUAGACAUUGUAGUGUGUACUAGUUUACUUGUGAUACGUGUGUUUUGGCCAAACAAACUCGGAAUGUUUAUCCUAUUUCU